GCUUGAUAGUUCGUCUCUUCCUGCCUCCACUUGCCAAGCCAAGCAAAUAGGCCAGGGUAAUAUCCUCCCACAUGGGCCGGACCUCCUAUCGACACAGAGUAUUAGCUUUAAAUUUCAUGUCCUACUGUCUUUGCGGGCAUGCAUGGUUUUAGAAGUCAGGGUGAUAUCCUGCGGGCAUCGAUUGGAGGUCCCUUUAACACACGGGUUUAAUAUUGACGGUUUUUCUUCGGUAGUCUCAUCUCCGGGUGAAGAUGAGUUCAUUACAGUAGAUGCGCACAUUGCUGACCCACCCAGGACGAAAGUGUUAUGAAGGCAAAAAAAAAAUGGAAGGAGAUUCUUCCAACUAAGUCAAGGAAGGGCGGCGAUGGAUUUCGACCUUUUGAUGCUCUACACAAGCCAAAGGGUUGUGGAACAUAGUAUUCAU
This is a long non-coding RNA of Capsicum annuum, 424 nucleotides long. RefSeq lists it as uncharacterized. Lineage: Eukaryota; Viridiplantae; Streptophyta; Magnoliopsida; Solanales; Solanaceae. The transcript has 3 exons. The record is from RefSeq and is a predicted model, not a curated record.